CCCUUAGAUGUUCUGGGCCGCACGCGCGCUACACUGAUGCAUUCAACGAGUCUAAAACCUGCUCUGAUAGGGGUGGGUAAUCUUUUGAAUGUGCAUCGUGAUUGGGAUAGAUGAUUGCAAUUUUUCAUCUUCAACGAGGAAUGCCUAGUAAACGCAAGUCAUCAGCUUGCAUUGAUUACGUCCCUGCCCUUUGUACACACCGCCCGUCGCUCCUACCGAUUGAAUGAUCCGAUGAAUAUCAUGGAUUGAGGAUUAUAGCAGGUUCGCCUGUCUUGAUCUUCGAGAAGUGAAGUAAAUCUUAUCAUUUAGAGGAAGGAGAAGCCGUAACA
RNAcentral lists this ribosomal RNA (329 nucleotides) under uncultured eukaryote. RNAcentral describes it as "partial 18S ribosomal RNA". It matches the Rfam family "Eukaryotic small subunit ribosomal RNA", at positions 1470 to 1796 of the family's 1831-position model. The record is from RNAcentral.